CUUGCUUCUAACAUCAUGUUAAUCAGCAAUGUAAGCUCUGGCAUAGCUUACCAACCCUAAGAGUGGCAGGGAGUUGCUCUGUGUAAUGGUGGAGUACUCAGCUGUCUUCUCCAUGGUGGUUGAGUUCUCUGGAUGGGAUCAGCUUUCUUCACAUGUCACUGAAGUGAAAGGGGACAAUUGAAACCUAUUUUGACAGGUUUAAAAGCUAAAGCCAAGCCAGGAAGAGGAAGACAAGAUGAGAAACCCCAAAUCAAGGUAA
RNAcentral lists this long non-coding RNA (259 nucleotides) under Homo sapiens (human). RNAcentral's name for it is "PREDICTED lncRNA (TCONS_00227146)". Lineage: Eukaryota; Metazoa; Chordata; Mammalia; Primates; Hominidae. The record is from RNAcentral.